AUUGAACGCUGGCGGCAUGCCUUACACAUGCAAGUCGAGCGCGAAAGGGGGCAACCCCGAGUAGAGCGGCGGACGGGUGAGUAACACAUCGGAACGUGCCCAGUAGUGGGGGACAACCUCGAGAAAUCGAGGCUAAUACCGCAUACGACCCACGGGUGAAAGCGGGGGACCGCAAGGCCUCGCGCUAUUGGAGCGGCCGAUGUCCGAUUAGCUAGUUGGCGGGGUAAGAGCCCACCAAGGCGACGAUCGGUAGCUGGUCUGAGAGGACGACCAGCCACACUGGAACUGAGACACGGUCCAGACUCCUACGGGAGGCAGCAGUGGGGAAUUUUGGACAAUGGGCGCAAGCCUGAUCCAGCCAUGCCGCGUGAGUGAAGAAGGCCUCGGUUGUAAG
This 394-nucleotide ribosomal RNA is filed under the name uncultured bacterium. RNAcentral's name for it is "bacterial SSU rRNA". It matches the Rfam family "Bacterial small subunit ribosomal RNA", at positions 29 to 429 of the family's 1533-position model. The record is from RNAcentral.